RNAcentral lists this ribosomal RNA (492 nucleotides) under uncultured bacterium. Its description in RNAcentral is "partial 16S ribosomal RNA". It matches the Rfam family "Bacterial small subunit ribosomal RNA", at positions 29 to 507 of the family's 1533-position model. The record is from RNAcentral.
AGUGAACGCUGGCGGUAGGCCUAACACAUGCAAGUCGAACGGCAGCACAGUAAGAGCUUGCUCUUACGGGUGGCGAGUGGCGGACGGGUGAGGAAUACAUCGGAAUCUACUUUUUCGUGGGGGAUAACGUAGGGAAACUUACGCUAAUACCGCAUACGACCUACGGGUGAAAGCAGGGGAUCUUCGGACCUUGCGCGAUUGAAUGAGCCGAAGUCGGAUUAGCUAGUUGGCGGGGUAAAGGCCCACCAAGGCGACGAUCCGUAGCUGGUCUGAGAGGAUGAUCAGCCACACUGGAACUGAGACACGGUCCAGACUCCUACGGGAGGCAGCAGUGGGGAAUAUUGGACAAUGGGCGCAAGCCUGAUCCAGCCAUACCGCGUGGGUGAAGAAGGCCUUCGGGUUGUAAAGCCCUUUUGUUGGGGAAGAAAAGCAGCAGGUUAAUACCCCGCUGUUCUGACGGUACCCAAAGAAUAAGCACCGGCUAACUUCGUG